GGUAUAGUUCUUCGGAGCUAGAGACCGGCGCACGGGUGCGUAACGCGUAUGCAAUCUACCUUUUACAGAGGGAUAGCCCAGAGAAAUUUGGAUUAAUACCUCAUAGUAUUAUGAAAUGGCAUCAUUUUAUAAUUAAAGUCACAACGGUAAAAGAUGAGCAUGCGUCCCAUUAGCUAGUUGGUAAGGUAACGGCUUACCAAGGCUACGAUGGGUAGGGGUCCUGAGAGGGAGAUCCCCCACACUGGUACUGAGACACGGACCAGACUCCUACGGGAGGCAGCAGUGAGGAAUAUUGGACAAUGGGCGCAAGCCUGAUCCAGCCAUGCCGCGUGCAGGAUGACGGUCCUAUGGAUUGUAAACUGCUUUUAUACAGGAAGAAACCCUGGUUCGUGAACCAGCUUGACGGUACUGUAAGAAUAAGGAUCGGCUAACUCCGUGCCAGCAGCCGCGGUAAUACGGAGGAUCCAAGCGUUAUCCGGAAUCAUUGGGUUUAAAGGGUCCGUAGGCGGUUUAGUAAGUCAGUGGUGAAAGCCCAUCGCUCAACGGUGGAACGGCCAUUGAUACUGCUAAACUUGAAAUUAUUAGGAAGUAACUAGAAUAUGUAGUGUAGCGGUGAAAUGCUUAGAGAUUACAUGGAAUACCAAUUGCGAAGGCAGGUUACUACUAAUUGAUUGACGCUGAUGGACGAAAGCGUGGGUAGCGAACAGGAUUAGAUACCCUGGUAGUCCACGCCGUAAACGAUGGAUACUAGCUGUUGGGGGCAACUUCAGUGGCUAAGCGAAAGUGAUAAGUAUCCCACCUGGGGAGUACGUUCGCAAGAAUGAAACUCAAAGGAAUUGACGGGGGCCCGCACAAGCGGUGGAGCAUGUGGUUUAAUUCGAUGAUACGCGAGGAACCUUACCAAGGCUUAAAUGUAGUUUGACCGAUUUGGAAACAGAUUUUUCGCAAGACAAAUUACAAGGUGCUGCAUGGUUGUCGUCAGCUCGUGCCGUGAGGUGUCAGGUUAAGUCCUAUAACGAGCGCAACCCCUGUUGUUAGUUGCCAGCGAGUCAUGUCGGGAACUCUAACAAGACUGCCAGUGCAAACUGUGAGGAAGGUGGGGAUGACGUCAAAUCAUCACGGCCCUUACGCCUUGGGC
RNAcentral lists this ribosomal RNA (1138 nucleotides) under Flavobacterium sp. Its description in RNAcentral is "bacterial SSU rRNA". It matches the Rfam family "Bacterial small subunit ribosomal RNA", at positions 66 to 1214 of the family's 1533-position model. Lineage: Bacteria; Pseudomonadati; Bacteroidota; Flavobacteriia; Flavobacteriales; Flavobacteriaceae. The record is from RNAcentral.